Long non-coding RNA from Anoplophora glabripennis (Asian longhorned beetle), 747 nucleotides. RefSeq lists it as uncharacterized. Lineage: Eukaryota; Metazoa; Arthropoda; Insecta; Coleoptera; Cerambycidae. The record is from RefSeq and is a predicted model, not a curated record. The transcript is spliced from 3 exons.
CCGAUGGCAAAGUUUGCGUCCCGAGGGCGUCCCGCCCGAGGGACAGCAAUUGCCUGAGGUUAUUAAGGCUCAUUAAUUCCCGUGGUACAUAGAUAAUUUUAUUUCUGACCGAUUUCAAUAAAAUAUUGUUUAUUUUUAAAACGGAAAAAAUGUACCAAUUUAUUACCUUCCCAGUAUAUUUGAAUCAGGUACCAUUGAUUAUAAGAGUUUUGUUGUUGCUAGGUUGUUGCUAUGUUACGUGUUUAUAAACAGAAUUGUUACUUGCUUAUAAACAGUACUUUGUUAUCAAGCUGUGUUUGCGUUAAAAACGUGUUUUCUACCCCAAAUAUAAUGGAGCAGAUUUUGAAGAAAGCUGAAAAAGCAAGAGAAUCAUUAAUUCCAUCGAAAAGUGAAGCCGUAUACCAAAAAGAAUACAAGAUAUAUCUGGAGUGGCUGACACGGAAUAAUGUUAUGCCAAAAGAUGCCACUGAAACUGUAUUACUGGCAUAUUUUCAAGAAUUGUCAGAAACGUAUUGUCCGAAUUCUUUAUGAACUAAAUGGUCAAUGCUAAAAUCGAAGGUGAAUAUACAUGAGAAACGAGAUAUCGCCAAGUUCAAUGAACUAGAGGCUUUUUUGAAACGGAAGAGUAAGAGUUAUAAGCCGAAAAAGUCUGCUGUUUUAUCUCCUAAUGAUGUUAUCAGAUUUCUAAAGAACGCUCCUAAUGAAAUUCAUUUAUUGCAUAAGGUUGUUUUGAUUAUGGGUUAUUUU